Molecule: non-coding RNA, 410 nt
Organism: Pseudonaja textilis
Lineage: Eukaryota; Metazoa; Chordata; Lepidosauria; Squamata; Elapidae
Source: RefSeq, a predicted model, not a curated record
CCAGAAAAAAAUCUUUGCAAGAGAAUGGCAGUAGAACAUAUUACUACACACAUGAUGAUCAAUACAAGUCUGGGCCUCAUAACAGUGAAUGCUUUCUGCAAACUUUGUCAUACUCACCUUCUCGACGUCCAUUGCGUAGACACUUGACUUUCGGGAUUCUGCUUAAAAAGAAGCAUUCUGAAAAAGAAGGAAGAAAGAAGGGCUGGAGAAAAUCAAGAGAUGGAGGAAAUAUUUCAGUUCCUGCCCCAAUCCCUUAUGUUGCCCUUUGUAAUUGUCAGCAAGAUCCCUGUGUUAGGGUGUUUUCCCCAUAUAAUAUGUCAUUCCACCUCUUGAAAUUCCUCCAGACUGAAAAAAACAUCAAGUUGGACUGAACAAGAGAAGAGCCACCAAAAGAACAGCAGGAUAUGCUA